Molecule: small nucleolar RNA, 132 nt
Organism: Nannospalax galili (Upper Galilee mountains blind mole rat)
Lineage: Eukaryota; Metazoa; Chordata; Mammalia; Rodentia; Spalacidae
Gene: SNORA71
Rfam family: Small nucleolar RNA SNORA71
About the family: The members of this family belong to the H/ACA class of snoRNAs which bind a number of proteins (including dyskerin, Gar1p and Nop10p) to form snoRNP complexes.
Source: Ensembl
CCCUGCAUUCGUAAGUGACCAUGGAGUGCCCAGGCCCUGGUUAUUGGUAGUGCAGGCAGAGGAAACGUGGAAAGAACAUCCUGUGUUUGGAAGGUCUACACCCUGCCUUCCAGUGCUGGGAGCUUUCCCACA